GAUGAAGAACGUAGCGAAAUGCGAUACGUAAUGUGAAUUGCAAAUUCAGUGAAUCAUCGAGUCUUUGAACGCACAUUGCCCCCCUGGUAUUCCGGGGGGCAUGUCUGUCCGAGCGUCAUUGCUGCCCUCAAGCACGGCUUGUGUGUUGGGCCCCGUCCUCCGAUCCCGGGGGACGGGCCCGAAAGGCAGCGGCGGCACCGCGUCCGGUCCUCGAGCGUAUGGGGCUUUGUCACCCGCUCUGUAGGCCCGGCCGGCGCUUGCCGAUCAACCCAAAUUUUUAUCCAGGUUGACCUCGGAUCAGGUAGGGAUACCCGCUGAACUUAAGCAUAUCAAUAAGCGGAGGA
RNAcentral lists this unclassified non-coding RNA (344 nucleotides) under soil metagenome. Its description in RNAcentral is "partial contains 5.8S ribosomal RNA, internal transcribed spacer 2, and large subunit ribosomal RNA". The stretch from base 1 to 118 matches the Rfam family "5.8S ribosomal RNA", at positions 35 to 154 of the family's 154-position model. The record is from RNAcentral.